CAAGUCGGAUUUCCAUUAAAUAUAUUGGUUUCAAAAUUGAACACCAUUGGCAAAAUGCUUACAAAAUUAGGCUAUACUUGGCUCCUCGGUGCCGUAAAUGGUGGCUUCAACUUUGUUUUUUUAAGAAAAAUGUGUUUUAUAUA
Non-coding RNA from Hydra vulgaris (swiftwater hydra), 143 nucleotides. The record is from RefSeq and is a predicted model, not a curated record. Lineage: Eukaryota; Metazoa; Cnidaria; Hydrozoa; Anthoathecata; Hydridae.